ACAGCAGUAGCCGCGGGAAUACGAAGGGGGCUAGCGUUGUUCGGAAUUACUGGGCGUAAAGCGCACGUAGGCGGAUCGAUCAGUCAGGGGUGAAAUCCCAGGGCUCAACCCUGGAACUGCCUUUGAUACUGUCGAUCUGGAGUAUGGAAGAGGUGAGUGGAAUUCCGAGUGUAGAGGUGAAAUUCGUAGAUAUUCGGAAGAACACCAGUGGCGAAGGCGACUGACUGGACAAGUAUUGACGCUGAGGUGCGAAAGCGUGGGGAGCAAACAGGAUUAGAUACCCCCGUAGUCCCUGUCUCUUAUAC
RNAcentral lists this ribosomal RNA (305 nucleotides) under uncultured bacterium. RNAcentral's name for it is "partial 16S ribosomal RNA". It matches the Rfam family "Bacterial small subunit ribosomal RNA", at positions 508 to 807 of the family's 1533-position model. The record is from RNAcentral.